Molecule: ribosomal RNA, 433 nt
Filed under: uncultured bacterium
Lineage: Bacteria
Description: partial 16S ribosomal RNA
Rfam family: Bacterial small subunit ribosomal RNA
Source: RNAcentral
AGCGAACGCUGGCGGCAGGCCUAACACAUGCAAGUCGAACGAACUCUUCGGAGUUAGUGGCGGACGGGUUAGUAACACGUGGGAACGUGCCUUUUGGUUCGGAAUAACUCAGGGAAACUUGUGCUAAUACCGAAUGUGCCCUACGGGGGAAAGAUUUAUCGCCAUUAGAGCGGCCCGCGUCUGAUUAGCUAGUUGGUGAGGUAACGGCUCACAAAGGCGACGAUCAGUAGCUGGUCUGAGAGGAUGACCAGCCACACUGGGACUGAGACACGGCCCAGACUCCUACGGGAAGCAGCAGUGGGGAAUCUUGCGCAAUGGGCGAAAGCCUGACGCAGCCAUGCCGCGUGAAUGAUGAAGGUCUUAGGAUUGUAAAAUUCUUUCACCGGGGACGAUAAUGACGGUACCCGGAGAAGAAGCCCCGGCUAACUUCGUG